Molecule: transfer RNA, 74 nt
Filed under: Cordylochernes scorpioides
Lineage: Eukaryota; Metazoa; Arthropoda; Arachnida; Pseudoscorpiones; Chernetidae
Description: tRNA-Thr
Source: RNAcentral
GUCCAAAGAUGGGAAUCGAACCCAACAGUGUUCCGCUUACCGGGCAGAUGCCAUAUCCACUAGGCUACCCUAGA